This 253-nucleotide ribosomal RNA is filed under the name uncultured bacterium. RNAcentral describes it as "partial 16S ribosomal RNA". It matches the Rfam family "Bacterial small subunit ribosomal RNA", at positions 524 to 776 of the family's 1533-position model. The record is from RNAcentral.
UACGAGGGGGGCGAGCGUUGUUCGGAAUUAUUGGGCGUAAAGGGUGCGUAGGCGGUUCGGUAAGUCUUAUGUGAAAUCUACAGGCUCAACUUGUAGUCUGCAUGAGAAACUGCCGGGCUUGAGUAUGGGAGAGGUGAGUGGAAUUCCUGGUGUAGCGGUGAAAUGCGUAGAUAUCAGGAGGAACACCUGUGGCGAAAGCGGCUCACUGGACCAUAACUGACGCUGAUGCACGAAAGCUAGGGGAGCAAACAGG